GGGGCUGCACUGGUUUCGACGUGGGUUCGGACGCGCAGCAGGGCAUGUCGAGGUUCUGUCACCUCGUAAAACCGCAGAAAAAAACUAACUGCAAACGACGAACGUUUCGCACUCGCUGCUUAAUUGCACGUGAGCCUCACAACAGCAAGCCGAUAGGCUGGGCAAGGGUAGCGCAAGCUGUCCAGGCUGUGGGGUAAUUUCAUUCGGCUGGGCCCGCCUUGGGUAACUUAGGGCAGGUCAAGAAAAUAGGUUGCUGGCGUUUUGCAUAGCGUGCCACUGCGCGAUGCAAAAGGCGAGACUCAAACCAGACGGCUACACAUGUAGAACUGUUCGAAGAAGGCUUGCGGACGCGGGUUCAAAUCCCGCCAGCUCCACCA
This 377-nucleotide transfer-messenger RNA is filed under the name Rhodoferax sp. It matches the Rfam family "transfer-messenger RNA". From Rfam's summary of the family: Bacterial tmRNA, also known as 10Sa RNA or SsrA, is named for its dual tRNA and mRNA-like properties. Lineage: Bacteria; Pseudomonadati; Pseudomonadota; Betaproteobacteria; Burkholderiales; Comamonadaceae. The record is from RNAcentral.